This 248-nucleotide ribosomal RNA is filed under the name Eurythenes sp. 1 HR-2016. RNAcentral's name for it is "partial 16S ribosomal RNA". The stretch from base 101 to 248 matches the Rfam family "Bacterial large subunit ribosomal RNA", at positions 2473 to 2620 of the family's 2925-position model. The record is from RNAcentral. Lineage: Eukaryota; Metazoa; Arthropoda; Malacostraca; Amphipoda; Lysianassidae.
UUAACUGGGGUAGUUUUUUUGUAAAAUCUGAGGUUGUAAAAGGCAUGUAAAGUGGGGUUAGGUCCUUUAGAUAAGGAUAAUUUGAGUGAGUUACUUUAGGGAUAACAGCGUAAUAGUCCUAGGGAGAUCGUAUCUAUGGGAUUGAUUGCGACCUCGAUGUUGAAUUAAAAGAUCAGUGUAGAGCAGGAGCUACAGGGUGAGGGUUUGUUCAACCUUUAAAUUUUUACAUGAUCAGAGUUCAGACCGGA